UCAUGUCACUUCAUCUAAAAAGUUACCACUUUUUACAUGUCAGUUCAUUUAAAAAGUUACCACUUUUCACAUGCCACUUCACCAAAAAGUUGCCACUUUCUAUGAUGUCACUUCAUUUAAAAGUUGUCACUUUUAACAUGUCAUUUUAUCUAAAAGUUACUGCUUUUUAUUAUGUCAUUUUAUCUAAAAGUUACAACUUUUCAUUAUACCACUUCAUUUAAAAGGUCUAAC
RNAcentral lists this long non-coding RNA (231 nucleotides) under Carica papaya (papaya). Its description in RNAcentral is "long non-coding RNA (CPAP_LNC010993)". The record is from RNAcentral. Lineage: Eukaryota; Viridiplantae; Streptophyta; Magnoliopsida; Brassicales; Caricaceae.